AGAGUUUGAUCCUGGCUCAGAACGAACGCUGGCGGCAUGCCUAACACAUGCAAGUCGAACGAACCCUUCGGGGUUAGUGGCGCACGGGUGCGUAACGCGUGGGAACCUGCCUUUAGGUUCGGAAUAACUCGAAGAAAUUUGAGCUAAUACCGGAUAAUGUCUUCGGACCAAAGAUUUAUCGCCUUUAGAUGGGCCCGCGUUAGAUUAGAUAGUUGGUGGGGUAACGGCCUACCAAGUCGACGAUCUAUAGCUGGUCUGAGAGGAUGAUCAGCCACACUGGGACUGAGACACGGCCCAGACUCCUACGGGAGGCAGCAGUGGGGAAUAUUGGACAAUGGGCGAAAGCCUGAUCCAGCAAUGCCGCGUGAGUGAUGAAGGCCUUAGGGUUGUAAAGCUCUUUUACCCGGGAUGAUAAUGACAGUACCGGGAGAAUAAGCUCCGGCUAACUCCGUGCCAGCAGCCGCGGUAAUACGGAGGGAGCUAGCGUUGUUCGGAAUUACUGGGCGUAAAGCGCGCGUAGGCGGCUAUUUAAGUCAGGGGUGAAAUCCCGGGGCUCAACCCCGGAACUGCCCUUGAAACUGGAUGGCUAGAAUCCUGGAGAGGCGAGUGGAAUUCCGAGUGUAGAGGUGAAAUUCGUAGAUAUUCG
RNAcentral lists this ribosomal RNA (646 nucleotides) under uncultured bacterium. RNAcentral describes it as "bacterial SSU rRNA". It matches the Rfam family "Bacterial small subunit ribosomal RNA", at positions 8 to 700 of the family's 1533-position model. The record is from RNAcentral.